GUGAGGAAUAUUGGUCAAUGGGCGGAAGCCUGAACCAGCCAAGUAGCGUGCAGGACGACGGCCCUAUGGGUUGUAAACUGCUUUUAUACGGGGAUAAAGUGCGCCACGUGUGGAGCAUUGCAGGUACCGUAUGAAUAAGGACCGGCUAAUUCCGUGCCAGCAGCCGCGGUAAUACGGAAGGUCCGGGCGUUAUCCGGAUUUAUUGGGUUUAAAGGGAGCGCAGGCCGGAAGCAAAGCGUGCCGUGAAAUGUAGAAGCUCAACAUCUGAAUUGCGGCGCGAACUGGUUUUCUUGAGUGCAUACGAGGUAGGCGGAAUUUGUGGUGUAGCGGUGAAAUGCUUAGAUAUCACGAAGAACUCCGAUUGCGAAGGCAGCCUACCAGGAUGUAACUGACGCUAAAGCUCGAAAGUGCGGGUAUCGAACAGGAUUAGAAACCCGGGUAGUCC
Molecule: ribosomal RNA, 445 nt
Filed under: uncultured bacterium
Lineage: Bacteria
Description: partial 16S ribosomal RNA
Rfam family: Bacterial small subunit ribosomal RNA
Source: RNAcentral